RNAcentral lists this ribosomal RNA (449 nucleotides) under uncultured bacterium. Its description in RNAcentral is "partial 16S ribosomal RNA". It matches the Rfam family "Bacterial small subunit ribosomal RNA", at positions 29 to 523 of the family's 1533-position model. The record is from RNAcentral.
AACGAACGCUGGCGGCAUGCCUAACACAUGCAAGUCGAACGACAUCUUCGGGUCUAGUGGCGCACGGGUGCGUCACGCGUGGGAAUCUGCCCUUUGGUUCGGAAUAACAGUUGGAAACGACUGCAAAUACUGGAUGAUGACGAAAGUCCAAAGAUUUAUCGCCAGAGGAUGAGCCCGCGUAGGAUUAGCUAGUUGGUGUGGUAAAGGCGCACCAAGGCGACGAUCCUUAGCUGGUCUGAGAGGAUGAUCAGCCACACUGGGACUGAGACACGGCCCAGACUCCUACGGGAGGCAGCAGUGGGGAAUAUUGGACAAUGGGCGAAAGCCUGAUCCAGCAAUGCCGCGUGAGUGAUGAAGGCCUUAGGGUUGUAAAGCUCUUUUACCCGGGAUGAUAAUGACAGUACCGGGAGGAUAAGCUCCGGCUAACUCCGUGCCAGCCGCCGCCGUAA